Non-coding RNA from Salmo salar (Atlantic salmon), 54 nucleotides. NCBI's taxonomy places the organism in Eukaryota, Metazoa, Chordata, Actinopteri, Salmoniformes, Salmonidae. The record is from Rfam.
AAUGCACCAAUAUGUAAGUCGCUCUGGAUAAGAGCGUCUGCUAAAUGCCGUAAA